ACUCCUACGGGAGGCAGCAGUGGGGAAUAUUGCACAAUGGAGGCAACUCUGAUGCAGCAAUGCCGCGUGUGUGAAGAAGGCCUUAGGGUUGUAAAGCACUUUCAGACGUGAGGAAAAGUUAUUUAUUAAUACUAAAUAGCCCUGACGUUAACGUCAGAAGAAGCACCGGCUAACUCCGUGCCAGCAGCCGCGGUAAUACGGAGGGUGCGAGCGUUAAUCGGAAUUACUGGGCGUAAAGCGCGCGUAGGCGGAUAGAUAAGUCAGAUGUGAAAUCCCUGGGCUCAACCUAGGAACUGCAUUUGAAACUGUCUAUCUAGAGUAUGGUAGAGGUGAGUGGAAUUUCAGGUGUAGCGGUGAAAUGCGUAGAGAUCUGAAGGAACAUCAGUGGCGAAGGCGACUCACUGGGCCAUUACUGACGCUGAGGUGCGAAAGCGUGGGUAGCAAACGGGAUUAGAAACCCCAGUAGUCC
This 469-nucleotide ribosomal RNA is filed under the name uncultured Gammaproteobacteria bacterium. RNAcentral's name for it is "bacterial SSU rRNA". It matches the Rfam family "Bacterial small subunit ribosomal RNA", at positions 335 to 796 of the family's 1533-position model. Lineage: Bacteria; Pseudomonadati; Pseudomonadota; Gammaproteobacteria. The record is from RNAcentral.